Long non-coding RNA from Pyrus x bretschneideri (Chinese white pear), 675 nucleotides. RefSeq lists it as uncharacterized. The transcript has 2 exons. The record is from RefSeq and is a predicted model, not a curated record. Lineage: Eukaryota; Viridiplantae; Streptophyta; Magnoliopsida; Rosales; Rosaceae.
UAUAUAUAUAUUUUUUUUUUUAAUUUAUAAUUAGAAAUUACUUGGACCGUUGGAUUGGUUAAGAUCUAAUCCAAUCGUCCAUUAAGUUAGGUCAUUUUGUUAUCCUCCUUCUUUUGAUCUCCCGAAUGCUCACACUCACACUCAAUCUCUCGAACGGCUCUCAUGCUCUCGCCGCUCCUCCUGUCCUUCAUCCACUUCAAUGGUGCUCCUCCCGCCCUCCGUCCCCUUCAUUCUAUGACGCAAAUCCGAUACCAAUCGAGUCCCAAAAUAAUCCAGAAGAAGCCGCAGACUUGGGUGCGCAGUCAACGGACUUGGGUGCGCAGACUCGGUUUGCAAUCAGAGAUGGUUUUGUUUCUAAUUUUGGAAAGGUGGAAUUGGGCUCGGGUAUGCAAAGGUGGAGGCGUUUGGAAAUUUCUGAAGAGGAAAGGUAGAGAAGCUGCGAGAUAGAAAUGAAAAGGAUUUUUUUUUGAAAUAGGGAGUUUAGAUUUUGGGCGCCAUGCCAAAAUUUUGGUAGCCGUCCAAAUUUUUAAUCUCCCACCUCCUCCAAAUGUUUUUAUUUAUUUAUGUAUGAUUUUUUUUUUUUUUUUCUUUGUCAAAAUGUAUGACUAUUAAAAUCUAUUGUUUGGAUAGGAUAUAUAUUCUAUGAAAGUAAAUUCAAUGAUCCAACCGUCAAAA